RNAcentral lists this long non-coding RNA (399 nucleotides) under Bos taurus (domestic cattle). RNAcentral's name for it is "long non-coding RNA NONBTAT015377". The record is from RNAcentral. Lineage: Eukaryota; Metazoa; Chordata; Mammalia; Artiodactyla; Bovidae.
GAAUAGGUAUGUUCUCUGAUUUAGAAAAAAUCAUAUUUUACCUUAUAGAUGGUUCAUGUUGAAAUGUUUGCUAGCUAGUGCUGAACCUCCAGAGGAGGUCUCCUGUUCUGACGAGUGGGGGUGACUUGGAGCAGCUGCGCUUGUGGGAGGGCAGUAGUUGUCAGCAUGUUAAAUGCAUGUAUACACUCGUUCCAGGAUCCUGCUGCUGGGACUGUAUCUUAAUGGUAUGUGUUAAUGAGUCCACAGAAAAGGUGCUCAUUGCAACUUUUUUUUAAAGUGAAAAGAGAAGGAUCUAAUGGGGCUGUUUAUUAACAAGGACCACUUACAUUAGUUAUCGCCCUUUCAUACAGUGAAUGGUGCUUUGUGGAGCUCUGGGUGCUAGGAAGAUAUUGCCAUAAC